GCGGAACGGGUGAGUAACACGUGGGUAACCUGCCUGUAAGACUGGGAUAACUUCGGGAAACCGGAGCUAAUACCGGAUAGUUUUCUUUUCUCGCAUGAGGGAAGAUGGAAAGAUGGUUUCGGCUAUCACUUACAGAUGGACCCGCGGCGCAUUAGCUAGUUGGUGAGGUAACGGCUCACCAAGGCCACGAUGCGUAGCCGACCUGAGAGGGUGAUCGGCCACACUGGGACUGAGACACGGCCCAGACUCCUACGGGAGGCAGCAGUAGGGAAUCUUCCGCAAUGGACGAAAGUCUGACGGAGCAACGCCGCGUGAACGAAGAAGGCCUUCGGGUCGUAAAGUUCUGUUGUUAGGGAAGAACAAGUACGAGAGUAACUGCUCGUACCUUGACGGUACCUAACCAGAAAGCCACGGCUAACUACGUGCCAGCAGCCGCGGUAAUACGUAGGUGGCAAGCGUUGUCCGGAAUUAUUGGGCGUAAAGCGCGCGCAGGCGGUCCUUUAAGUCUGAUGUGAAAGCCCACGGCUCAACCGUGGAGGGUCAUUGGAAAC
RNAcentral lists this ribosomal RNA (551 nucleotides) under uncultured bacterium. RNAcentral describes it as "bacterial SSU rRNA". It matches the Rfam family "Bacterial small subunit ribosomal RNA", at positions 97 to 633 of the family's 1533-position model. The record is from RNAcentral.